CCACACUACAGCUCUGAACCCUUUCUCCUGUGGACAGAUGUUUGGGAUGCUUGCAGGCUGAGCUGUCUGAACACCAUUCAUAUAAACGCCAGCCUCUCCUUGAUGCUCAGAAACACCAGCUCUGUUGUAAAUCAGGCAGCCACAUAUGUGUGAAACUGUUGACUGAAGGCCUUCUCUGUGCAUGCGUCAGGCCGGGAAAUCCACAAGAAUGCAUCCCAUUCAAGACCCAAUCCUCCCACUGGUAUCCCAUUUUGAAAUGUCAGCAGGAGGCCAGCUGCAGCUGCCCAGCCUGGGGCCAAUCCACCUCCUACCUUGGCUUGACUUGUGAAGGGGACCCGUAGGGCUGCCUCAGGACCUGACAGCUGGCUCCCCCAGGAGAAUAUAUAUCAUUAAGAAAGAUGAGCCUGAAGAGUUGAUGCUUUUGAACUGUGAUGUUGGAGAAAACUCUUGAGAGUCCCUUGGACAGCAAGGAGAUCAAACCAGUCAAUCUAAAAAAAAAAUCAACCCUGAAUACUCAUCGCAACGACUGAUGCUGAAGCUGAAGCUCAAGCUCCAAUACUUUGGCCACCUGAUGCAAAGAGCUGACUCAUUGGAAAAGACCCUGAUGUUGGGAAAAAUUGAAGGCAGGAGAAGGGGAUGACAGAGGAUGAGAUGGUUGGAUGGCAUCACUGACUUAAUGGACAUAAUUCUGAGCAAAUUCCAGGAGAUGGUGAAGGACAGGGGAGCCUGGCAUGCUGUAGUCCAUGGGGUCACCAAGAGUCGGACACGACUGAGCAACUGAACUGAAGUUACUAAUUGCAGGCCACACAUGAGGAGGGGAUUACAUAAAGG
Molecule: long non-coding RNA, 831 nt
Organism: Bos taurus (domestic cattle)
Lineage: Eukaryota; Metazoa; Chordata; Mammalia; Artiodactyla; Bovidae
Source: Ensembl